RNAcentral lists this ribosomal RNA (514 nucleotides) under uncultured bacterium. Its description in RNAcentral is "partial 16S ribosomal RNA". It matches the Rfam family "Bacterial small subunit ribosomal RNA", at positions 28 to 523 of the family's 1533-position model. The record is from RNAcentral.
GAUGAACGCUGGCGGCGUGCCUAAUACAUGCAAGUCGAGCGAACAGAUGAGAAGCUUGCUUCUCUGAUGUUAGCGGCGGACGGGUGAGUAACACGUGGGUAACCUACCUAUAAGACUGGGAUAACUCCGGGAAACCGGGGCUAAUACCGGAUAAUAUUUUGAACCGCAUGGUUCAAUAGUGAAAGACGGUUUCGGCUGUCACUUAUAGAUGGACCCGCGCCGUAUUAGCUAGUUGGUAAGGUAACGGCUUACCAAGGCGACGAUACGUAGCCGACCGGAGAGGGGGAUCGGCCAAACUGGAACUGAGACACGGUCCAGACUCCUACGGGAGGCAGCAGUAGGGAAUCUUCCGCAAUGGGCGAAAGCCUGACGGAGCAACGCCGCGUGAGUGAUGAAGGUCUUCGGAUCGUAAAACUCUGUUGUUAGGGAAGAACAAAUUUGUUAGUAACUGAACAAGUCUUGACGGUACCUAACCAGAAAGCCACGGCUAACUACGUGCCAGCAGCCGCCGCCG